AAUACUCGCGUCAGUCAGUGAUUCAAUCGAUCUCCGUUCCCUAUAAAACAGGCGUCUCAACUUAACAGAUAAAGAAUACGGAGAAGCGAAAAAAUACAAGAUAGAAAUGAUUUUCAAAAAUAGAAAAUUUAUUAAGCAUAUCUAACGGUGCUGUAUCAGAAACGGCUACAAGUAUUCGGCCAAGCUUUUUUCAACAGUUCGAUCUCUCUAUCUAUGAAGGAGGGGCUUAGUCGGUGGGAGUCGAAGGAAUUCAAGGAUUUCUCGAAUCGCCAAGAUUCUCUUACUUACCUGCAGCGUUAUUUAAAAAAAUCUCGAAUAAUAAAAAUACUCGAAUAAUCCGCGCAACGGAAAAGAGGAAAUAAGGAGGAAAAAAAUAGGAAGACGAGGAUAAAAAGAAUAUGUAACGUGGUCGUUGAUAACACUUCGUCCGUCAACAUAUGGAAAUUCACCGAUUUUACGUUUCACGAUUUAUCUUUACAAAAUAUUUUCACGUUCGUUUCGGAUUCGAUAAAAGAUCGUUUCGAUAAAACUGUUGUACCCGCUGUCGCCGUUAAUUUUUCAUCUUUAUCAGUGGGCCGACAAUUCUGAUUUUUUUUUUUUUUUGCAGAAAAAUUCAUUGGUCUUCUGGCGAAUCGAGAUUCGAAUAGAAUACGAAGGCGUGGAUACCGGAAUGAAACGUCAUAGGACGAAAAGGAGGACGGUGAUCGCGUGUCGAGUUGAUGAGGGAGGAAUCGCGAUCGCGCCUUCUAUUCGGCCGGAUCCAACUUCUUUUGCCGGUUAUCGUCCCUUUAAACGGCAAUAACCCAUCGACGAUACGUUUUCGCCACCGUGUAGAUGAACUCAAUGGACCAGGCCAAAAAUGUACACUUGACCGACUGGUCUUGUCGCCCGGACAUUAUAACGGCCGAAUGGUUGCUCACUCAUUUGCAUAUCAUGUCCAGUCAUUAAGGUAGCAAAUUAGGGAGAUCAUAUAUCGAUUGAGAUAUUAAUAAUGGAACCAGUUGAUGUGUACUCUCGUGGAAAAAUAAUGUGCUCGUUUCGUAAAGAAAGAAGAAGGAGCGAAGAAUAAAAGAAAAAAAAAAAA
Apis dorsata (giant honeybee) is the source of this 1084-nucleotide long non-coding RNA. RefSeq lists it as uncharacterized. The record is from RefSeq and is a predicted model, not a curated record. The transcript has 3 exons. Lineage: Eukaryota; Metazoa; Arthropoda; Insecta; Hymenoptera; Apidae.